AUACGGAGGGAGCUAGCGUUGUUCGGAAUUACUGGGCGUAAAGCGUACGUAGGCGGUUAUUUAAGUCAGAUGUGAAAGCACCGGGCUUAACUUGGGAACUGCAUUUGAAACUGGGUAACUCGAGUUUAGUAGAGGGGAGUGGAAUUUCAGGUGUAGCGGUGAAAUGCGUAGAGAUCUGAAGGAACACCAGUGGCGAAGGCGACUCCCUGGACUAAAACUGACGCUGAGGUACGAAAGCGUGGGUAGCAAACAGGAUUAGAAACCCUAGUAGUCC
RNAcentral lists this ribosomal RNA (274 nucleotides) under uncultured bacterium. RNAcentral's name for it is "partial 16S ribosomal RNA". It matches the Rfam family "Bacterial small subunit ribosomal RNA", at positions 523 to 796 of the family's 1533-position model. The record is from RNAcentral.